UUCAAUGGCGGGCGGUGUGUGGGGAUCGCAAGAUCCGCCAGGCCUUUUCUCCCAGUGAGCUUUUCUGCCUUGGCACGCCAACCCGCACCGUCCGCCACCUUC
RNAcentral lists this non-coding RNA (102 nucleotides) under Stenotrophomonas indicatrix. Lineage: Bacteria; Pseudomonadati; Pseudomonadota; Gammaproteobacteria; Lysobacterales; Lysobacteraceae. The record is from RNAcentral.